RNAcentral lists this unclassified non-coding RNA (294 nucleotides) under uncultured fungus. Its description in RNAcentral is "partial contains 5.8S rRNA, ITS2 and 28S rRNA". It matches the Rfam family "Eukaryotic large subunit ribosomal RNA", at positions 668 to 961 of the family's 3401-position model. Lineage: Eukaryota; Fungi. The record is from RNAcentral.
AAGGAGUCUAACAUAUAUGCGAGUGUGUGGAUAGUAAGUCCAUAUGCGAAAUGAAAGUGAUCAUAGCGAGUGCGCCUUCGAGUGUAUGCAGCUGUGGCCGACCUUGAUCCUCGGUGACAGGUUUGAGUAUGAGCAUAUAUGUUGGGACCCGAAAGAUGGUGAACUAUGCCUGCAUAGGGCGAAGCCAGAGGAAACUCUGGUGGAGGCUCGUAGCGAUUCUGACGUGCAAAUCGAUCGUCAAAUGUGGGUAUAGGGGCGAAAGACUAAUCGAACCAUCUAGUAGCUGGUUCCUGC